Molecule: ribosomal RNA, 441 nt
Filed under: uncultured bacterium
Lineage: Bacteria
Description: partial 16S ribosomal RNA
Rfam family: Bacterial small subunit ribosomal RNA
Source: RNAcentral
CCUACGGGAGGCUGCAGUGGGGAAUAUUGCACAAUGGGGGAAACCCUGAUGCAGCGAAGCCGCGUGAGUGAAGACGUAUCUCGGUAUGUAAAGCUCUAUCAGCAGGGAAGAAGAAAGACGGUACCUGACUAAGAAGCACCGGCUAACCACGUGCCAGCAGGCGCAGUAAUACGGAGGGGGCCGGCGUGAUCCGGAUUUACUGGGUGUAAAGGGGGCGUAGACGGCUUUGCAAGUCUGAAGUGAAAGCCACGGGCCCAACCCCGGGACUGCCUGUGAAACUGGGGAGCUAGAGUGAGGGAGAGGCAGGCGGAAUUCCUGGUGUAGCGGUGAAAUGCGUAGAUAUCAGGAGGAACACCGGUGGCGAAGGCGGCCUACUGGACCGCGACUGACGUUGAGGCACGAAAGCGUGGGGAGCGAACAGGAUUAGAUACCCUAGUAGUC